This 1700-nucleotide ribosomal RNA is filed under the name Alaninema ngata. RNAcentral's name for it is "SSU rRNA". It matches the Rfam family "Eukaryotic small subunit ribosomal RNA". Lineage: Eukaryota; Metazoa; Nematoda; Chromadorea; Rhabditida; Drilonematidae. The record is from RNAcentral.
AUAACAUAAAACCGCGUAUGGCUCAUUAAAAUAGCUAUAAUAUAUUUGACUUUGAUGUUUAUCUUAAAUGGAUAACUGUGGUAAUUCUGGAGCUAAUACAUGCCCUAAAAUUAAAACUUUAUAGUUUUAAUGUAUAUAUUAGUUUAAAACCAAGCAUAACUUUUUGUUAUGUUUUUUAUUGAUUCAGAAUAUCCUUACUAAUCGUAUGGUCUUGUACCGACGAUAUGUUAUUUAAAUAUCUAAUCUAUCAACUUUCUAUAUAAGUAUAUAGUACUUAUAUGGUUUUGACGGAUAACGGAGUAUUAGGGUACGACUCCGGAGAAAAUGCCUGAGAAAUGGCGUUUACAUCCAAGGAUGGCAGCAGGCGCGAAAAUUACCCAAUCUCAGUAUGAGGAGGUAGUGACGAGAAAUGACAAGAUUUAAUCCUACGGGAUUGAAUCAUUGGAAUGGUUUAAUUAUAAAAUCAUUAAAGAGUAUCAAUGAGAGGGCAAGUCUGGUGCCAGCAGCCGCGGUAAUUCCAGCUCUCAUACUGCAUUGAAUUGUUGUUGCGGUUAAAAAGCUCGUAGUUGGAUCUGUACACGAUAGGAUAGUUCACUCUUUGAGUUGUAAUUAUUACUACGUGUUUUUUAUAAGAUUUUAUAUUAUUUAUUUUAUAAUAAAUAAUAUAUAUCUUAUAAGUUUACUUUGAAUAAAUCAAAGUGUUUAAAACAGGCGUAAGCUUGUAUGGUUUUGCAUGGAAUAAUAGAAUAUGAUUAUGGUUCAUGUUUUAUUGGUUUUAAUUACCAUAAUAAUGAUUAAAAGGAACAAACGGGGGCAUACGUAUCGUAAGGCGAGAGGUGAAAUUCGUGGACCCUUGCGAGACGAACUACAGCGAAAGCAUUUGCCAAGAAUGUUUUCAUUAAUCAAGAACGAAAGUCAGAGGAUCGAAGGCGAUUAGAUACCGCCCUAGUUCUGACCGUAAACUAUGCCAUCUAGCGAGUUUCGGGUGGAUAUUUUAUAUUUGCCCUUGAAACGAGCUUUCCGGAAACGAAAGUUUUUCGGUUCCGGGGGAAGUAUGGUUGCAAAGUUGAAACUUAAAGGAAUUGACGGAAGGUCACCACCAGAAGUGAGCCUGCGGCUUAAUUUGACUCAACACGGGAAAACUUACCUGGUCUAGACACUAUAAGGAUUGACAGACUGAUAGAUUUUUCAUAAUUUGGUGGAUGGUGGUGCAUGGCCGUUCUUAGUUCGUGGACUGAUUUGUCUGGUUAAUUCCGAUAACGAACGAGACUGAAACUUAAUUAAAUAGAUUAAUUAUUUAAUUAUUAUAAUUAAUUAAUACUUCUUAAUGGGAUUUGCAGCGUUUAGUUGUAAGAAACUCAGCAAUAACAGGUCUGUUAUGCCCUAAGAUGUUCAGGGCUGCACGCGCGCUACAAUGAAAAUUGCAGCGCGUAUGACCAUAACCGAAAGGUUUUGGUAAACGAGUUAAAUUAUUCCGUAUUUGGAAUUGAAUAUUGUAAUUAUUAUUCAUGAACGAGGAACUUCAAGUAAGUGUAAGUCAUUAGCUUACGCUGAUUACGUCCCUGUCCUUUGUACACACCGCCCGUCGCUGCCCGGAACUGGGUUUAUUCGAGAAGAUUGAGGAUUGUUAUUAYSUUUAUAUUUUGGUAUAUUAUUAAUGAUAAAAAUCAAUUUGAUCGCAUUGGCUGAACCGGCAAAAA